This 550-nucleotide ribosomal RNA is filed under the name Trichoderma atroviride. Its description in RNAcentral is "eukaryotic LSU rRNA". It matches the Rfam family "Eukaryotic large subunit ribosomal RNA", at positions 63 to 636 of the family's 3401-position model. The record is from RNAcentral. Lineage: Eukaryota; Fungi; Ascomycota; Sordariomycetes; Hypocreales; Hypocreaceae.
AACCAACAGGGAUUGCCCCAGUAACGGCGAGUGAAGCGGCAACAGCUCAAAUUUGAAAUCUGGCCCCUAGGGUCCGAGUUGUAAUUUGUAGAGGAUGCUUUUGGUGAGGUGCCGCCCGAGUUCCCUGGAACGGGACGCCGCAGAGGGUGAGAGCCCCGUCUGGCUGGCCACCGAGCCUCUGUAAAGCUCCUUCGACGAGUCGAGUAGUUUGGGAAUGCUGCUCAAAAUGGGAGGUAUAUGUCUUCUAAAGCUAAAUAUUGGCCAGAGACCGAUAGCGCACAAGUAGAGUGAUCGAAAGAUGAAAAGCACCUUGAAAAGAGGGUUAAACAGUACGUGAAAUUGUUGAAAGGGAAGCGCUUGUGACCAGACUUGGGCGCGGCGGAUCAUCCGGGGUUCUCCCCGGUGCACUUCGCCGUGUUCAGGCCAGCAUCAGUUCGGCGCGGGGGAAAAAGGCUUCGGGAACGUGGCUCCUCCGGGAGUGUUAUAGCCCGUUGCAUAAUACCCUGCGCUGGACUGAGGACCGCGCAUCUGCAAGGAUGCUGGCGUAAUG